RNAcentral lists this ribosomal RNA (253 nucleotides) under uncultured bacterium. RNAcentral's name for it is "partial 16S ribosomal RNA". It matches the Rfam family "Bacterial small subunit ribosomal RNA", at positions 524 to 776 of the family's 1533-position model. RNAcentral also lists the same sequence under 1 other name. The record is from RNAcentral.
UACGUAGGGACCGAGCGUUGUCCGGAAUCAUUGGGCGUAAAGAGCGUGUAGGCGGCCCCUUAAGUCCUGCGUGAAAUCCUGCGGCUCAACCGCAGACGGUCGUGGGAAACUGGAGGGCUAGAGUGCGGGAGAGGAGAGUGGAAUUCCCGGUGUAGCGGUGAAAUGCGCAGAUAUCGGGAAGAACACCCGUGGCGAAGGCGGCUCUCUGGAACGCAACUGACGCUGAGACGCGAAAGCGUGGGGAGCAAACAGG